Molecule: non-coding RNA, 192 nt
Filed under: Candidatus Pelethocola excrementipullorum
Lineage: Bacteria; Bacillati; Bacillota; Clostridia; Lachnospirales; Lachnospiraceae
Description: 6S RNA
Rfam family: 6S / SsrS RNA
About the family: E. coli 6S RNA was the first non coding RNA to be sequenced, but its function was unknown until recently.
Source: RNAcentral
AAUUUCCUGGAAUGUGCGACACUCCUACUAUUUUGAACCUACAUUUACUUUAAACGGGAUGCUCAUCAUUGUCCUACGGAUGUCAAGCCACCCUGGAAACAGAUGUCAGUGGAAGGCAAAAGCAGGUACUGCGGCGGCCCACCUAGCUGUGGCUAGGAGUCAAAAUAUAGGAAACGGCAUUUCGGGGUUACU